This 195-nucleotide ribosomal RNA is filed under the name uncultured Verrucomicrobiales bacterium. Its description in RNAcentral is "partial 16S ribosomal RNA". It matches the Rfam family "Bacterial small subunit ribosomal RNA", at positions 338 to 524 of the family's 1533-position model. The record is from RNAcentral. Lineage: Bacteria; Pseudomonadati; Verrucomicrobiota; Verrucomicrobiia; Verrucomicrobiales.
CCUACGGGAGGCAGCAGUCGAGAAUUUUUCACAAUGGACGAAAGUCUGAUGGAGCGACGCCGCGUGGAGGAUGAAGGUUCUUGGAUUGUAAACUCCUGUCACUGCAGAACAAGGAUACGUUCGUUAAUAGCAAACGUAUUUGAUGGUAUGCGGAGAGGAAGGGACGGCUAACUCUGUGCCAGCAGCCGCGGUAAU